This 683-nucleotide long non-coding RNA is filed under the name Mus pahari (shrew mouse). RNAcentral's name for it is "lncRNA (MGP_PahariEiJ_G0003190.1)". Lineage: Eukaryota; Metazoa; Chordata; Mammalia; Rodentia; Muridae. The record is from RNAcentral.
GGUGGUGUCCUCGGGAGCCAGGAUGAAAACCAGCAUCGUGGACCCAAGAAGUGUGGCCAGAGGGAAGAAACUUGAAGCCACCUGUCUAUAGCAGUGUCUUGGCAGUCAGGAAUAAAUGGACAUACAUUCCAAGGUCAUGAGAAAGUCUUUCUAAAAUAUGGCCCAUGAAAGCAAUGAUACUGUGGUAAGCAAGAGGGAUGGCUUCAGCGGUGAAGGGCACUGGCUGUUCUUGUAGAGGACUAGGGUUCAGUUCCCAGCAUGCACAGGGUGACUCACAACUGUCUGUGGCUUCAGUUCUAGGAGGUCUGAUGACAUCUGGUGGCUUCUGAACACAUAGGGAGCACAAAUGCAAUUAGUAUGUAAAACAGCGGCUCUCCUGGAAAUGACUGCUUGGGGGGGGGCUGAGCUCAGAUGAGAAGAUUUACAACAGAGAAAAGCUGUGUGAAGCCAGUGGAUGUGCAGGAGCCACCAACGUGACAAAAAUCGCUAGGGCCCUAGAGGGCGACUGAGAAUUAGAAACAGGAUUUGAGCCCCAGGUGAUGUUCUGUCUUUGAAGGCGGAGUCUUUAAGCUCAGCAUCUUGUACAAGCUUUCCGCUCUCCCAAAUGCUCCCCAAUAUGUGUUUUCAAUUGGACUUUGAAACUAACACCCUAUGUUUUUGGAGAAAACUUAAGACAUUAUGAA